CAGUCGCCGCGGGAAAACGAAGGGUGCAAGCGUUAAUCGGAAUUACUGGGCGUAAAGCGCGCGUAGGUGGUUCAUUAAGUUGGAUGUGAAAUCCCUGAGCUUAACUUGGGAAUUGCAUUCGAUACUGGUUAGCUAGAGUGUGGGAGAGGAUGGUAGAAUUCCAGGUGUAGCGGUGAAAUGCGUAGAGAUCUGGAGGAAUACCGAUGGCGAAGGCAGCCAUCUGGCCUAACACUGACGCUGAGGUACGAAAGCAUGGGGAGCAAACAGGAUUAGAUACCCCGUAGUCCCUGUCUCUUAUACA
This 301-nucleotide ribosomal RNA is filed under the name uncultured bacterium. RNAcentral's name for it is "partial 16S ribosomal RNA". It matches the Rfam family "Bacterial small subunit ribosomal RNA", at positions 509 to 808 of the family's 1533-position model. The record is from RNAcentral.